GAUGAACGCUGGCGGCGUGCUUAACACAUGCAAGUCGAACGAUGAUCCGGUGCUUGCACCGGGGAUUAGUGGCGAACGGGUGAGUAACACGUGAGUAACCUGCCCUUAACUCUGGGAUAAGCCUGGGAAACUGGGUCUAAUACCGGAUAUGACUCCUCAUCGCAUGGUGGGGGGUGGAAAGCUUUAUUGUGGUUUUGGAUGGACUCGCGGCCUAUCAGCUUGUUGGUGAGGUAAUGGCUC
This 240-nucleotide ribosomal RNA is filed under the name uncultured Arthrobacter sp. RNAcentral describes it as "partial 16S ribosomal RNA". It matches the Rfam family "Bacterial small subunit ribosomal RNA", at positions 28 to 266 of the family's 1533-position model. The record is from RNAcentral. Lineage: Bacteria; Bacillati; Actinomycetota; Actinomycetes; Micrococcales; Micrococcaceae.